UGGAAUCCCACUCCAUUGAGGAAGACC
This 27-nucleotide non-coding RNA is filed under the name Homo sapiens (human). The record is from RNAcentral. Lineage: Eukaryota; Metazoa; Chordata; Mammalia; Primates; Hominidae.